This 98-nucleotide ribosomal RNA is filed under the name uncultured bacterium. RNAcentral's name for it is "partial 16S ribosomal RNA". It matches the Rfam family "Bacterial small subunit ribosomal RNA", at positions 1386 to 1482 of the family's 1533-position model. The record is from RNAcentral.
CACACCGCCCGUCACACCAUGGAAGCUGACUCAACCAGAAGACGAUAUGGCUAACCGCAAGGGAGCCGUCGGUCAAGGUGGGGUCGGUGACUGGGGUG